Molecule: ribosomal RNA, 560 nt
Filed under: uncultured bacterium
Lineage: Bacteria
Description: bacterial SSU rRNA
Rfam family: Bacterial small subunit ribosomal RNA
Source: RNAcentral
CCUACGGGAGGCAGCAGUGGGGAAUAUUGCGCAAUGGAGGAAACUCUGACGCAGCCAUGCCGCGUGAGUGAAGAAGGCCCUAGGGUUGUAAAACUCUUUCAGACGUGAUGAUGAUGACAGUAACGUCAAAAGAAGUUCCGGCUAACUUCGUGCCAGCAGCCGCGGUAAUACGAAGGGAACUAGCGUUGUUCGGAUUUACUGGGCGUAAAGAGCAUGUAGGCGGAUUGGUCAGUUGGGGGUGAAAUCCCGGAGCUCAACUCCGGAACUGCCUCCAAUACUGCUAAUCUAGAGUCCGUAAGGGGGUGGUGGAAUUCCGAGUGUAGAGGUGAAAUUCGUAGAUAUUCGGAGGAACACCAGUGGCGAAGGCGACCACCUGGUACGGUACUGACGCUGAGAUGCGAAAGCGUGGGGAGCAAACAGGAUUAGAUACCCUGGUAGUCCACGCCGUAAACGAUGAGUGCUAGUUGUCGGGAUGCAUGCAUCUCGGUGACGCAGCUAACGCAUUAAGCACUCCGCCUGGGGAGUACGGUCGCAAGAUUAAAACUCAAAGGAAUUGACGG